This 388-nucleotide ribosomal RNA is filed under the name uncultured methanogenic archaeon. Its description in RNAcentral is "bacterial SSU rRNA". It matches the Rfam family "Archaeal small subunit ribosomal RNA", at positions 40 to 434 of the family's 1478-position model. Lineage: Archaea; Methanobacteriati; Methanobacteriota. The record is from RNAcentral.
UCGAUAGCAUGCGAGUCGAGAGGGGUUAUGCCCUCGGCGAACGGCUCAGUAACACGUGGACAACCUACCCUCAGAUCUGGGAUAACUCCGGGAAACUGGAGAUAAUACCGGAUAAUCCGUGAACGCUGGAAUGCCUUACGGUUCAAAGCUUUAGCGUCUGAGGAUGGGUCUGCGGCCGAUUAGGUAGUUGCUGGGGUAACGUCCCAACAAGCCGAUAAUCGGUACGGGUUGUGAGAGCAAGAGCCCGGAGAUGGAUUCUGAGACACGAAUCCAGGUCCUACGGGGCGCAGCAGGCGCGAAAACUUUACACUGCGCGAAAGCGCGAUAGGGGGACCUCGAGUGCGUGCGCAAUGCGUACCGCUUUUCAUAUGCUUAAAANGCAUGUGGG